GAUGAACGCUGGCGGCGUGCCUAAUACAUGCAAGUCGAGCGAACAGACGAGGAGCUUGCUCCUCUGACGUUAGCGGCGGACGGGUGAGUAACACGUGGAUAACCUACCUAUAAGACUGGGAUAACUUCGGGAAACCGGAGCUAAUACCGGAUAAUAUAUUGAACCGCAUGGUUCAAUAGUGAAAGACGGUUUUGCUGUCACUUAUAGAUGGAUCCGCGCCGCAUUAGCUAGUUGGUAAGGUAACGGCUUACCAAGGCAACGAUGCGUAGCCGACCUGAGAGGGUGGUCGGCCACCCUUGAACUGAGACAAGGUUCAGACCCCUAAGGGAAGGAAGGAUGGGGGAUCGUCCGGGAGUGGGGGAAGGCUGGCCGGAGAACGCCGCGUGAGUGAUGAAGGUCUUCGGAUCGUAAAACUCUGUUAUUAGGGAAGAACAAAUGUGUAAGUAACUAUGCACGUCUUGACGGUACCUAAUCAGAAAGCCACGGCUAACUACGUG
Molecule: ribosomal RNA, 497 nt
Filed under: uncultured bacterium
Lineage: Bacteria
Description: partial 16S ribosomal RNA
Rfam family: Bacterial small subunit ribosomal RNA
Source: RNAcentral